This 267-nucleotide ribosomal RNA is filed under the name uncultured Megasphaera sp. RNAcentral describes it as "partial 16S ribosomal RNA". It matches the Rfam family "Bacterial small subunit ribosomal RNA", at positions 103 to 356 of the family's 1533-position model. Lineage: Bacteria; Bacillati; Bacillota; Negativicutes; Veillonellales; Veillonellaceae. The record is from RNAcentral.
CGGGUGAGUAACGCGUAAACAACCUGCCCUUCGGAUGGGGACAACAGCUGGAAACGGCUGCAAUACCGAAUACGUCUUUUCAUCGCAUGGUGAGAAGAAGAAAGGACGGCCUCUACACAAAGCGGUCGCCGAAGGAGGGGUUUGCGUCUGAUUAGCUAGUUGGAGGGGUAACGGCCCAACAAGGCGACGAUCAGUAGCCGGUCUGAGAGGAUGAACGGCCACAUUGGGACUGAGACACGGCCCAGACUCCUACGGGAGGCAGCAGUG